RNAcentral lists this ribosomal RNA (240 nucleotides) under Triticum aestivum (bread wheat). RNAcentral describes it as "partial small subunit ribosomal RNA". The record is from RNAcentral. Lineage: Eukaryota; Viridiplantae; Streptophyta; Magnoliopsida; Poales; Poaceae.
AUGAACCCUUGUGCAAUCACGACACUCAUUGAUCGAUAGCGGCCUGAGACACAUACUUUCCACUUAUUUGCUGGAGAGAUGACGAUUACUUUGCAGGAUGUUCCACUGAUCACUGGACUCCCCAUCAAAGGAGAGCCUAUUUGUUUUAGCACAUAUUUCGAGGGAUGGCGUGAAAUUAUGGUGGGACUCAUCUGGAGGAACCCGGGGCCUCACGCCUCCAUGACUCACGUGAGCAGAUAG